AGAGUUUGAUCCUGGCUCAGGACGAACGCUGGCGGCGCGCCUAACACAUGCAAGUCGAACGAGCGAGAGAGAGCUUGCUUUCUCGAGCGAGUGGCGAACGGGUGAGUAACGCGUGAGGAACCUGCCUCAAAGAGGGGGACAACAGUUGGAAACGACUGCUAAUACCGCAUAAGCCCACGACCCGGCAUCGGGUAGAGGGAAAAGGAGCAAUCCGCUUUGAGAUGGCCUCGCGUCCGAUUAGCUAGUUGGUGAGGUAACGGCCCACCAAGGCGACGAUCGGUAGCCGGACUGAGAGGUUGAACGGCCACAUUGGGACUGAGACACGGCCCAGACUCCUACGGGAGGCAGCAGUGGGGGAUAUUGCACAAUGGGGGAAACCCUGAUGCAGCGACGCCGCGUGGAGGAAGAAGGUUUUCGGAUUGUAAACUCCUGUCGUUAGGGACGAUAAUGACGGUACCUAACAAGAAAGCACCGGCUAACUACGUGCCAGCAGCCGCGGUAAAACGUAGGGUGCAAGCGUUGUCCGGAAUUACUGGGUGUAAAGGGAGCGCAGGCGGACCGGCAAGUUGGAAGUGAAAACUAUGGGCUCAACCCAUAAAUUGCUUUCAAAACUGCUGGCCUUGAGUAGUGCAGAGGUAGGUGGAAUUCCCGGUGUAGCGGUGGAAUGCGUAGAUAUCGGGAGGAACACCAGUGGCGAAGGCGACCUACUGGGCACCAACUGACGCUGAGGCUCGAAAGCAUGGGUAGCAAACAGGAUUAGAUACCCUGUAGUCCAUGCCGUAAACGAUGAUUACUAGUGUUGGAGGAUUGACCCCUUCAGUGCCGCAGUUAACACAAUAAGUAAUCCACCUGGGGAGUACGACCGCAAGGUUGAAACUCAAAGGAAUUGACGGGGGCCCGCACAAGCAGUGGAGUAUGUGGUUUAAUUCGAAGCAACGCGAAGAACCUUACCAGGUCUUGACAUCCGAUGCAUAGCUUAGAGAUAAGUGAAGUCCUUCGGGACAUCGAGACAGGUGGUGCAUGGUUGUCGUCAGCUCGUGUCGUGAGAUGUUGGGUUAAGUCCCGCAACGAGCGCAACCCUUAUUGCCAGUUACUACGUAAGAGGACUCUGGCGAGACUGCCGUUGACAAAACGGAGGAAGGUGGGGAUGACGUCAAAUCAUCAUGCCCUUUAUGACCUGGGCUACACACGUACUACAAUGGCGUUUAACAAAGAGAAGCAAGACCGCGAGGUGGAGCAAAACUCAAAAACAACGUCUCAGUUCAGAUUGCAGGCUGCAACUCGCCUGCAUGAAGUCGGAAUUGCUAGUAAUCGCGGAUCAGCAUGCCGCGGUGAAUACGUUCCCGGGCCUUGCACACACCGCCCGUC
This 1368-nucleotide ribosomal RNA is filed under the name uncultured bacterium. RNAcentral's name for it is "bacterial SSU rRNA". It matches the Rfam family "Bacterial small subunit ribosomal RNA". The record is from RNAcentral.